RNAcentral lists this unclassified non-coding RNA (299 nucleotides) under plant metagenome. Its description in RNAcentral is "partial contains 5.8S ribosomal RNA, internal transcribed spacer 2, and large subunit ribosomal RNA". The stretch from base 1 to 105 matches the Rfam family "5.8S ribosomal RNA", at positions 50 to 154 of the family's 154-position model. The record is from RNAcentral.
GAAAUGCGAUAAGUAAUGUGAAUUGCAGAAUUCAGUGAAUCAUCGAAUCUUUGAACGCACAUUGCGCUCGCCAGUAUUCUGGCGAGCAUGCCUGUUCGAGCGUCAUUUCAACCAUCAAGCUCUGCUUGCGUUGGGGAUCCGCGGCUGCCCGCGGUCCCUCAAAAACAGUGGCGGGCUCGCUAGUCACACCGAGCGUAGUAACUCUAUAUCGCUAUGGUCGUGCGGCGGGUUCUUGCCGUAAAACCCCCAAUUUCUAAGGUUGACCUCGGAUCAGGUAGGAAUACCCGCUGAACUUAAGC